This 498-nucleotide ribosomal RNA is filed under the name uncultured bacterium. RNAcentral's name for it is "bacterial SSU rRNA". It matches the Rfam family "Archaeal small subunit ribosomal RNA", at positions 381 to 879 of the family's 1478-position model. The record is from RNAcentral.
UCGAGUGCCAGGUUACAAAUCUGGCUGUCGAGAUGCCUAAAAAGCAUUUCAUAGCAAGGGCCGGGCAAGACCGGUGCCAGCCGCCGCGGUAACACCGGCGGCUCGAGUGGUAACCGUUAUUAUUGGGUCUAAAGGGUCUGUAGCCGGCCGGAUAAGUCUCUUGAGAAAUCUGGCAGCUUAACUGUCAGGCUUUCAGGAGAUACUGUCUGGCUCGAGGCCGGGAGAGGUGAGAGGUACUUCAGGGGUAGGGGUGAAAUCUUGUAAUCCUUGAAGGACCACCAGUGGCGAAGGCGUCUCACCAGAACGGACCUGACGGCAAGGGACGAAAGCUAGGGGCACGAACCGGAUUAGAUACCCGGGUAGUCCUAGCCGUAAACGAUACUCGCUAGGUGUCGGCCACGGUGCGACCGUUGUCGGUGCCGUAGGGAAGCCGUGAAGCGAGCCACCUGGGAAGUACGGCCGCAAGGCUGAAACUUAAAGGAAUUGGCGGGGGAGCAC